CAAGGAGUUGGUUUGAUUUCAUUCAAGGUCCAGGAGCGCAGAGAACCUUGUGUGUCAACUCACAUUGCAUCCCUCACCUCAGCAGAGUCAACGCCCACUUGCUGGUCAGCAGGCUUUGCCGCCAUCAGGACGACUCCUCCUCCUCCACACUGGCCCGUGCUGAGCUGGCCUGGAUCUGCAGCUGCUUCUGUGAGCAAUGACCUGGUUCCGGUGGGAGUCUUAGGGAGAUCAUUUGCUCGGUGGUUAGCGGCUGCAAACAUGCACUGAAUGCUUUUGAGAGAAUCCAGUGCACCAGGGUGGCUACUAUGAUUAUCCAAGCAGGAUUGUCCCAUGUCUGGGGUCGCCAAGGCCCUAAGCAAUCAAAGUCAAGCACAGCAGUGGAGACCUGGCAGAACUGACUUUGGUAGAAUUCUUACCCUUCACCGGCUUCUCCAGUUUUCCCAGGAUCCCGUCUGCAGGCGCUGGGGUGAGCUGGGUGUCCCAGGGGGUGUCUUCCUGGUCACCAGACACUGCAGAGAAGGAGAGAGAAAUUUCCCUCACCCUUUACAUCUGGCCACCCUACCUUAGCAUCUCAACUAACGACUGGGCUGAUGACGCCUAGUACAAAAGAUCAAAGUGGUCCCAAGUGCUGCACAGGUCAGAGCUAUUGUUCCUUGAGAGAGAUGGGAGGUGACCCAAUGUGGUAAACGUAGGACACAGUGCACGACCCACAGACAGUACAUGUAGGCGACCUGGGGUGGACCUGGGGGUGGAUGGAUUAGACCUGACCAGGUUUGGCUCUUGGCCUUGACUGUCAAAUCGUGGGGACACUCGCUAAGCAAAUGCACACAGGCUGCUGCUGAUACCUGUGGGCUGAACUUGGGCACCAAGGGAAGCACCUCUACGAGAUGUCGAACCAAACGGAGCAGGGGGGCUGCCACCUGAUCCUGCCACCCUGUGCCUGCCGGGCCUCUCGGCCGCGGGGCCCCUGCAGGAGAGCAGCCCUGGGAACCCUGCGCUCUGGGCUCGCCCACCACUCAGCACCGUGCUGCCAGCACAGCUGCUGUGGUCGUGACCUCCUGUCCCCAUGUGGGCAUGGACUCCGAACGCAUCAAAGCACUGACUUGCAACUGAGAAAAUAGAGUACAAAUACUGAAUGCCAGACAACCUUUUUGAUUCUGUGCUGUUGGAAUUAGUGUAUCAAAUUUAUGGAAAGAGUGUUAAUCUGGAAAAGAGGAUCGUCACCUUCCAAGAGGCAUGGGCUCGGCUCUGAGCUGCUGGGAGCCUCCACCUUUUCUUCCCUGUCGCUCACUGCUUCCAGCUCCUGGAAUCCUGCACAGAAAACGUUACCGCACAAGGAAAGCAGCACGGGUGUCCGGGGCCCGGGGCGCAGCGCUUUUCCUGUCGGGGGUCAAUUUAACAUCGGCUGCUCCCACCUCCUGGGGGCAUCCCCGACACACCGGGCCCACCCUCUGGGCCUCGGCACCCACUCCCUGGGACCUAGUGCUGCCAGGAGGAGGCCCACCUGGCGCCGGGCAGGGGUGCAAGCGUCCCGCACGGGCUGAGUUGCCAGGCCGGCUUUGUGACGGCUCCGAGGGCCUCAGCCCUUGCCAAUUCAGGGUUCUAGAGGGUUCUAGACAAACUGCAUGGGUCUGCCAUCAGAAGUAUCUCCAGGGCUUAAGGACAAAGCUCACAGGCAAAAAGGUGACCCCCAAGCCACUAAGAGUCAAAGAGGAGGGCUGGUGGCCUCGGGGUGGCAGAUUCAGGGCAGGACACUCACGUACUCGCGAGAGCUCGCAGGCGCUUCCUCCCGGGCAGGGAUGCGGGGACCGGGGACCAGGCCCAGCCAGAGGAGGCAGACGAGGAAGGGGCUGCAGGAGGCGGUGGAAGAGAAACACUAGCCAUGGCCAAGGACAUGGGCUGAGCAGGAAGCUCCAAUUUCGGGGAAAAAAAAAGUUUCCUCUUCACCCUGGUCACUCAGAAGUCCCACAUCAUCACAGAAUUUCUCCUGAGAUUAGCUACCCAACAUCAAUUACCUAUGAGGACAUACCAUUAUUCAUUUUUCUACUGUGAAAUUAAAAGAUUUGGUUACUAACUGGUUUGCAGGCUGUUUUUGCCUCUGGGGGCAUCUGGAAGAACUGUGGAGUCGUCAGUGUCCCGCUGCCUCCAGGAGCCGGUUUCCUUCUGUCCUCUGGGCUUGGCGGCCAUGACUCCAUCCGCACCUGCGGGAGGACCCGGGGCCACGGCGGGAGGGCUGCACUGUCGCCACUAAAGAGCGAGCUGAAAUCAGGAGCCGAUGGUCCAGCCUCGUCUUCUUUGAGCGCCGUCAGUGAUGGUUCAAACCGGGGCGGCCUCGGCCAUUAAACGAUGCUGGUGGCCUUCCCCAUCCACCGCCGCGGAGGGACCUGGCAUCACGGCUCUUCGGGAUCCGAGGGUGACAUGGGCCCGCGUGACGCCACACGGGAAGAGCUGGCCUAAAUUCAAGUUCUUUACCCCAAAAUGGACUAUUAUUAUUACCACUGUUUUAAAAGACUGCAGCUAUUAGUGUAGAAUUCUUAUUUAUAGAACUGAAGUUUGGGGGAGGGGCAAAGUAUAUUAUUAUAGCUUAAUAGCAGAGAACGUGCACCUCAAAAAUUAGGCUAAAUGACAUCAAAAGAGAUCUCACCCUCCUUCAACCUCUGCUCUGAGGCUGAUUGACAGAUGCCUUCCCCAGCCGCCACCACCUACCACCUUCCACUCCACAGCCCCGCCCUUAUUACCUGUGCCCCACCUUACCUGUGUUUACUGAUUCAUUUGUCUCAGUGGAAUCUGGUCACACAUUAUUCCCAGUGCACAAAUAGCCAGCUUAUAAUGCAAGAGUAAGAGACCGAAGGCUCAUCUGUAAUGACAUAUACAGGAAGCAGCCUGUGUAUCCCCAGAUCUACCCGCCAAGGCUCAAGGUCCUACUCGGCUUAACUACAAACCUGGGGAGUCCCCACUAGCUGAGGAGACAAAACCAAAAUCCCAGAAGCACCGCGGCCGCUCAGAGGCCAAGGGUCUUCCAACCUGGGCUCAAAAAAGCAAUGAGCAUCUCUCCACAGCCCUUCAUAAAAGCACAUUCACGCAGCAUCUCACCUGAUGCAGACACGCGUGGGCAGGCAGGCUCCACCACCGCCCCUUGCACGGGCAGACCUGGGCUCGGAGGCCUCUCCUGGGAGUGAAGACCCCAGGGUGAGCCCCAGGUGCACGCCUGCCCUCGGUGCGGGGCUGCCCAGGAGGCCCCGCUGCCAGCCAAGAGCAGAACUGGCCCGGGGGUGUGCGCAGAUUUCAAAGAAAUUACCCAACUAGU
Long non-coding RNA from Lagenorhynchus albirostris (white-beaked dolphin), 3307 nucleotides. RefSeq lists it as uncharacterized. NCBI's taxonomy places the organism in Eukaryota, Metazoa, Chordata, Mammalia, Artiodactyla, Delphinidae. The record is from RefSeq and is a predicted model, not a curated record. The transcript is spliced from 5 exons.